GACGAACGCUGGCGGCGUGCUUAACACAUGCAAGUCGAGCGGUAAGGCCCUUUCGGGGGUACACGAGCGGCGAACGGGUGAGUAACACGUGGGUGACCUGCCCUCAGCUCUGGGAUAAGCCUGGGAAACCGGGUCUAAUACUGGAUAUGACUCCAUGACGCAUGUUGUGGGGUGGAAAGUUUUUCGGCUGGGGAUGGGCCCGCGGCCUAUCAGCUUGUUGGUGGGGUGAUGGCCUACCAAGGCGACGACGGGUAGCCGGCCUGAGAGGACGACCAGCCACACCGGAACUGAGACACGGUCCGGACUCCUACGGGAGGCAGCAGUGGGGAAUAUUGGACAAUGGGGGCAACCCUGAUCCAGCGACGCCGCGUGGGUGAAGAAGGCCUGCGGGUUGUAAAGCCCUUUCGGUGGGGAAGAAAAGUCUCGACCUAAUACGUCGGGACCUUGACGUAACCCACUAAGAAGCACCGGCUAACUCUGUGCC
RNAcentral lists this ribosomal RNA (484 nucleotides) under uncultured bacterium. Its description in RNAcentral is "bacterial SSU rRNA". It matches the Rfam family "Bacterial small subunit ribosomal RNA", at positions 28 to 509 of the family's 1533-position model. The record is from RNAcentral.